GUCAAGUCAGCAUGCCCCUUACAUCCUGGGCUACACACGUGCUACAUUGGGUUAGGACAAUGAGAUACAAUUUCGUGAGAAAAAGUCAAUCUAUAAACCUACUCUAAGUUCAGAUUGUAGGCUGCAACUCGCCUACAUGAAGUUGGAAUCGCUAGUAAUCGCUGGUCAGCUACACAGCGGUGAAUUCGUUCCCGGGCCUU
Molecule: ribosomal RNA, 200 nt
Filed under: uncultured prokaryote
Description: partial 16S ribosomal RNA
Rfam family: Bacterial small subunit ribosomal RNA
Source: RNAcentral